GCCAGGCGUGGUGGCGCAUGCCUGUAAUCCCAGCUACUGGGGAGGCUGAGGCAGGAGAAUUGCUUGAACCCAGGAGGCAGAGGCUACAGUGAGCCAAGACUGUGCCACUGCACUCCAGCCUGGGCGACAGAGCAACACUCUGCCUCGA
Molecule: non-coding RNA, 148 nt
Filed under: Nomascus leucogenys (northern white-cheeked gibbon)
Lineage: Eukaryota; Metazoa; Chordata; Mammalia; Primates; Hylobatidae
Source: Rfam by way of RNAcentral